CCCUACGGGGCGCAGCAGGCGCGAAAACUUUACAAUGCGGGCAACCGUGAUAAGGGAACCUCGAGUGCCUGUAAAUGCAGGCUGUUCAGGUGCCUAAAACACACCUGAAGAAAGGGCCGGGCAAGACCGGUGCCAGCCGCCGCGGUAAUACCGGCGGCUCGAGUGGUGGCCGCUUUUAUUGGGCUUAAAGCGUUCGUAGCUGGGUUGUUAAGUCUCUUGGGAAAUCUGGCGGCUUAACCGUCAGGCGUCUAAGGGAUACUGGCAAUCUUGGAACCGGGAGAGGUGAGGGGUACUUCGGGGGUAGGAGUGAAAUCUUGUAAUCCCUGUGAGACCACCUGUGGCGAAGGCGUCUUACCAGAACGGGUUCGACGGUGAGGGACGAAAGCUGGGGGCACGAACCGGAUUAGAUACCCGGGUAGUCCCAGCCGUAAACUAUGCUCGCUAGGUGUCAGGCAUGGCGCGACCGUGUCUGGUGCCGCAGGGAAGCCGUGAAGCGAGCCACCUGGGAAGUACGGCCGCAAGGCUGAAACUUAAAGGAAUUGGCGGGGGAGCACAACAACGGGUGGAGCCUGCGGUUUAAUUGGACUCAACGCCGGACAACUCACCGGGAACGACA
RNAcentral lists this ribosomal RNA (616 nucleotides) under uncultured archaeon. Its description in RNAcentral is "bacterial SSU rRNA". It matches the Rfam family "Archaeal small subunit ribosomal RNA", at positions 321 to 941 of the family's 1478-position model. The record is from RNAcentral.